RNAcentral lists this ribosomal RNA (676 nucleotides) under Maudiozyma exigua. RNAcentral's name for it is "eukaryotic LSU rRNA". The stretch from base 212 to 365 matches the Rfam family "5.8S ribosomal RNA". Lineage: Eukaryota; Fungi; Ascomycota; Saccharomycetes; Saccharomycetales; Saccharomycetaceae. The record is from RNAcentral.
AUUGGUAGAGGAGGAGUGAUCGAGCCUGCGCUUAAGUGCGCGGGGAGGUUGUUCUUUUUCGUUACGCCGAUAAUUCUUUACACACACUGGAGUUUUAUUUCUACAGUAUCGGAGGUAGCAAUACCGCCAAAACAAAACACAAACAAUUAUUUUUUAUUAUUUUAAUUUGUCAUUUCAAAAUCUGCUUUAUUGCAGUAACCAAAAUAUUCAAAACUUUCAACAACGGAUCUCUUGGUUCUCGCAUCGAUGAAGAACGCAGCGAAAUGCGAUACGUAAUGUGAAUUGCAGAAUUCCGUGAAUCAUCGAAUCUUUGAACGCACAUUGCGCCCCUUGGUAUUCCAGGGGGGAUGCCUGUUUGAGCGUCAUUUCCUUCUCAAAUACUUGUAUUUGGUUGUGAGUGACACUCAGUCUUGCAUUGAGUUAACUUGAAAUUGUUGGGCGUAGCGGUUGUUGCAGCUUAUAGUUUUUGUGUAAUGGUAUGAUUUCUUUACUAUUAAACAGGAUGCUUGAGCAUGUCGUAUUAGGUUUUACCAACUCCGGGAGACUCGGUAUCUUGGAAGAGCGUACUGGGAUUAGAACAUUGAACUGUCGACUGUGGGAAACAGUACUCUUUAAGUUUGACCUCAAAUCAGGUAGGAAUACCCGCUGAACUUAAGCAUAUCAAUAGCCGGAGGAA